Molecule: long non-coding RNA, 2163 nt
Organism: Daphnia pulex (common water flea)
Lineage: Eukaryota; Metazoa; Arthropoda; Branchiopoda; Diplostraca; Daphniidae
Exons: 6
Source: RefSeq, a predicted model, not a curated record
AUCUACUAUGAAAUCCAAAAAUAGUUCUAGUUCUGAGCCUAGUGCGCAUGACGUUUGCGCGAUUGCUGUGACUUAGUUGAAGACCAACUUUUGCCCGGAUAGCACACAAUUCUUCCCGGAUUAGGGAGUCUUUUAAUUUUUCUCCGUGCUGAAUGUCUUUUUUUAAAACACCAACUAGGCAUUCUAGCUUGCUUACUAAUCACCUUCAAGGAUAAGUUGAUUACCGUAAGUAGACUUUUUUAACUGAUGCGUUUGUCCGAUCAAAGCCGUGCUCCCGAUCCCUCUGCAAAAAAUAACUUUUGUCUAGUAGCCUACGUGUUUUUAUAUACAAAACAACGUCGUCACAAGUCAGAAUACAGAUGAUUUAAAUCUGUCAUGCUGGACAGAAACGUAUAACGAUAAUCUAGGAUACAUGCACACCUAUCCUGAAUCCUUAAACUACUCUUGACGUUUGGAUUCGCCCUGAAAGUUGUCUGUGCGCACAGCAGCGAAGGACAAACGUCAGCUAGUAUUUUACUCAUUUUUUUUCCAUCAAUACAAAAAAUGAAAAAGGUGGCAGGGUGAUGGAAGUUUCUAGACAAUCUAAUUAUUUAGGAAACGACGUUAUUCUCUAUUUUGGCACAUUAAUUUUCCUCGAAUACGUUGUCCUAGCUGUGCAAGGGAAACCACCCACUCCAAGAUUUAACGAUACUCUAACUUCUAUAAGUGUGGGCCUAUUUCAGGAAUGUUUCAGAAUCGCAAUGCGGGGAUUCGAAAUGUGCCUAUAUUGUCACUUGCACCAACAUUAUCGUUUGAUUGAUUUAUCGGAACAAUCAACAGGGCUUGGACUGUUUACUGUUGUGCUUAUUAAUUUUGCCAUGGCUACUACUGGAUUCACAGGGUUAAUCACGGUAAUAUGCAGAAAUCGUUAUAGUUGUGUGUUGAAAUUUUUUACCAUAUUUCACAUGGUCGUUCCCACGAUAGCACGAUAUGUCCUGACAAUUACAGAAAUUAAUAUUUUAUGGGCGCAUCAUCAAGUGCAUCAUAGCUCAGAUGACUUCAAUAUGUCAGUUGGAGUAAUCUUUAAUAAUUGGCUUUGUUGGGUUGGUUUUGUUGAAUUUUACAUUUCUUUAUUUUAUUUAUUAUUAUUAUUAUUAUUUUUUAAGUUUCCAAGUUUCCAACCUUUUGAUUUCUGUCACGUCUACAGAUUAUUCAUAUUCGUGAUUCUCAUCAAAUUUGGGGUCGAUUUUAGGUAUCACAAAAUUUUGGAUUUUGUUGUAAAGUAUAGCCAAUCGACCCCAAAUUUUAUGGAGAUUACGAAUUUUGGUUUAAUUUGACUGAAUUUGACGUCAGCUCAAUGGUGGAGGCGCUAUCGCGUACUUUCGGAUUACUUCCGGAAAAUUUGCAUGAAACUAGCAAGUGAGCUUUGUUCUAUUUAUAGUUCUAAGGAUGAGUGCUAAGUUUUAACAAACAAAAAAGCACUUUUCAAGUUUUGUGAGUAUCUAUCUUAAGAGUUAAGACCAGUCCUUCAAAUACUGAGUUUUGAGACGUGUCAAAUAGAUGGCGUGUUGAUUGUGUCAGUCAUGGGCUAAUGACGGUUUGCUAUCAAAAUUAUUAUUACGCUAGUUUUUUUCGAAAAUAACCAAAUUACCAAUGAAUUCACAGGUAAAUUCGAGUGAUUUGGUUUGUAACUUGUCGGUGAUGUGUUCUUUUCCGUGUAUAUGUUGGAUAACAUUAACGUUUCUCAUCAACUUACAGGAGGAAACGUAAAAGAGUCGUGCCGCCUAUACUGUCAACUAUUUUGUUCAAAAUCAUUGUAUUUUACUGAAUGUGCCAUCAAAAUGAUACAGGAUUCAACAUAAUUAUCUGCUGUGUGUAUUGGACUUGCUAGAUCACCAACCCCAGCAUGGAACAAUCUCUCAUUCCAUCAUCUAGAGAACCUUAUCAUCUGGAUAACUGAUCAGUGGUUUCAUGUAUUCUAAACUGCUGGUUUCUAAAUUUGCAUGGCAGACUUUAUGAAAAGUCCUGUCAUUUCAAGAAAGUCAACAAGGUCUGUUGUUUGCUGACCCGUUGGCUACUACCCUUGAAUCCUCCUUAUUGACUUCUUUACACAGGCCCUCCUGAUUUGAGAGUAAUCCUUCGCUACUGAUCAUGGACUUCGUCCAUUGGUGAAAACCGACGCGA